This 214-nucleotide unclassified non-coding RNA is filed under the name Hevea brasiliensis (rubber tree). Lineage: Eukaryota; Viridiplantae; Streptophyta; Magnoliopsida; Malpighiales; Euphorbiaceae. The record is from RNAcentral.
GGCCCAGGCGAGCCUGACAGGGUCCAACUGGACGGUGGCAGCGAAACCGGAGAGAGAGUUGAAGCAGACGUUAGGGUAGAGGGUGGCCCAGCAGCAGGCGUGGAUGAACUCUAUUGGUCCUUCGGACAAUGGCCAGAAUUCAGGGCCUGGGGCAGGCCGAGCAGAGGGGACUGAGGAGAUGAGGGCGAGGAAGAGGAGGAGGAGAGGAGAUUUU